CUAGGAUUUUGAGUUAUAAUUCUAGCAACAGGUUUAGACAACUAUUGUGAAAACACAAUGUGAAAGUGUAAUACAUCUCCUUUCACUGUGAUCGCUAGCAUUGACCGUCAUUGAUAAAGGGGAUUGCUUGGUCGAUCUUAGUUUGCUUGUAUUUUUUGCAUUAUGAGAAGGGAAGAGUUAUUUUCUUCUAAAAACUAAUGAAUACAAGUAAGAUGUUCAAAUUUUGUGUCAUCCGGGAUGUUAGAAUACCCAAGCAAAAGCACAUCCUUUUUUGUGUGGAAAUUCGGGUUGCGAAGAAGUUUAGAUUUUCCCAAAUGUUAGCAAACGUGAUUUAUGGAGGUUUUCUCAAUUCAUCUUUAGUGGUAUUGGGUAAAUUUUUUUAUUUUGGAGUUAAAAUAAUUAUGUAUGACGAGUUUCAAAUUUACAUCUGUCUUAUGCUCGUUAUUUCUUGCAUUUUUCAUCCAUGUAGGUUUGGAGGCAGUGAUUUCUAUCCGGCCAGGAAAUGCUCCGCUUCCAGAGAAUCAUGGAUUCAAGACAAUUAAUACUUUUGCAGAAAUCUGAUGAAAUCAGACUUGGCACUUGUGUAAUGACACUAAAUAUGACAUGGCUUGAUGCACAAAUGUAUGCAUAAAUAAAAAUCUGUUUCAGCUUUCUUAUUUAUUUAGAGCCUUUCUUAUAAUAUUUUG
This 686-nucleotide unclassified non-coding RNA is filed under the name Hevea brasiliensis (rubber tree). The record is from RNAcentral. Lineage: Eukaryota; Viridiplantae; Streptophyta; Magnoliopsida; Malpighiales; Euphorbiaceae.